CCCUUCUCAGGAUUGCACCUGAAGAGUUUCUAUUACUCUACCAGUUUCGGCUAGGGGAGGGAGAGUCAAGCAGAGGAUACUCAUUCCAUUCCUAGCUUGGGCAGUGGCUAGCGAGUGGAAGGCAAUCUGCUACAAGU
Molecule: small nucleolar RNA, 137 nt
Organism: Ornithorhynchus anatinus (platypus)
Lineage: Eukaryota; Metazoa; Chordata; Mammalia; Monotremata; Ornithorhynchidae
Source: RefSeq, a predicted model, not a curated record